AGCGUAGGCGGACAUUUAAGUCAGGGGUGAGAUCCCGGGGCUCAACCUCGGAACUGCCUUUGAUACUGGGUAUCUUGAGUAUGGAAGAGGUAAGUGGAAUUCCGAGUGUAGAGGUGAAAUUCGUAGAUAUUCGGAGGAACACCAGUGGCGAAGGCGGCUUACUGGUCCAUUACUGACGCUGAGGUGCGAAAGCGUGGGGAGCAAACA
Molecule: ribosomal RNA, 207 nt
Filed under: uncultured bacterium
Lineage: Bacteria
Description: partial 16S ribosomal RNA
Rfam family: Bacterial small subunit ribosomal RNA
Source: RNAcentral